CCGUCACGAGGCCCCCGCUUAGACUCGUUGAUCCGAAUUCACUCCCCUCUCUGUUCACACAGCUCCCACUGCACAGCGUCCGCUCCAAACGUGCCCGGUCCGGAUUCACCCCACACGUCACCGUGCACACAGCAGCGCCUGGGCCGAGGCGCAGCCUCCGCCCCUGGAGGUGUUUAAGACCCGAGCCUCGCCUGUGUGGAGCAGGGCGGCCCCCCCGGGCGCACGCAGAGCCCGACGCCGGACGGCGGCCCGCACGCGGCGCCCGCAGUCGGGCACGUUUGCUCGGAAGCGGUGCGCGGAGACGCGGGUCCCGGACGGAGCGUGCCCACCCCACGUCGGUGUGCACGGAGAGGCCCACGCACCGCCCCGGUGUGGAGACGCGGGAGGAAGCCCCGCCGCCUACACCUGCCCCACCUCCUGCGGCGAUGAGUUCCCCGCGUUAACAACGCGCUGCCCUCCUUACUUCCAAACCUGUCCCCUGCUCCCGGCAGCGCGCCUCCUUCUUCCAGCGCUCCUGGACUCACGCUCCACGGCCUCCGUGGUUUGACAGACCUCUUCCUCUCCCCCCAGCUGAAGAGCUGCUCCGGGCCUGGUCACCUUCGCUGCCCUUCUCUGCGCUUUUUCUAAUCCCACGCCCUGCUUUGCGCAAGGCGGACACCAGCGCGCGCGGUAUCCGGGACGUGGGCGCCCCGUGGAGGGGUGCAGCGGCCCGACCGCAGCCAACACGUCGGGCCUGGUCGGGCCGCGGAGCCGGGGUGCAACGCCUCCGGGCUCUCUCCCCCGAGCCGUAACAGCUAGUUGGGACCCGGCGCUGCGCACGGGUAAUUGCGGGUAUCCCCCCCCGUGCAGCACCUUGCCCUCGAUGCAGUUCACCGGCCGGUUUUUGCCCCCUCGCUUAGCUGGGCGAGCUCUUUCUGCGGCUCCUCUCUGCCUACGCGAGAGCCGGCAGCCUGGACAGCGCCAUCCGCGCACGUGGAGAUUUCACGGGCCCGUUUCCAGCUCCUGGAGGAAAACGUGUCUUCUCGUAUGCCGGACUCUGUACUCCCUGGUCGGUCAGGGAGCUCUUCUUCGCGCCCGUUCUGGUCUGAAUUCGGUAUUGCAGGUGUUAACGACCCUCUCUUCUCUCUAGCAGUCUUGAUGUCCCACCAGUCCAGGCAGCCUUUGUUCUGCCCACCCGUCGGCUGCUCCUGGGCACAAAGCUCCUCUCUCACGGCCCUGCGGAGUGCUUUGAACUCCUUGCAAUGACGUUCUUUUGGUUUGUGCUUCCAUCUUGAACUGAAUAAAGCAGCCCCUGGCGUGGUACUAAA
Long non-coding RNA from Alligator mississippiensis (American alligator), 1307 nucleotides. RefSeq lists it as uncharacterized. The record is from RefSeq and is a predicted model, not a curated record. NCBI's taxonomy places the organism in Eukaryota, Metazoa, Chordata, Crocodylia, Alligatoridae. The transcript is spliced from 2 exons.